This 253-nucleotide ribosomal RNA is filed under the name uncultured bacterium. RNAcentral describes it as "partial 16S ribosomal RNA". It matches the Rfam family "Bacterial small subunit ribosomal RNA", at positions 524 to 776 of the family's 1533-position model. The record is from RNAcentral.
UACGGAGGGUGCAAGCGUUAUCCGGAUUUACUGGGUUUAAAGGGUGUGUAGGCGGGCUUUUAAGUCUGGGGUGAAAUCCCGAAGCUCAACUUCGGAACUGCCUUGGAUACUAUUAGCCUUGAAUUCUGUUGAGGUUGGCGGAAUAUAACAUGUAGCGGUGAAAUGCAUAGAUAUGUUAUAGAACACCGAUUGCGAAGGCAGCUAACUAAACAGACAUUGACGCUGAGGCACGAAAGCGUGGGGAUCAAACAGG